RNAcentral lists this non-coding RNA (166 nucleotides) under Butyricimonas synergistica. The record is from RNAcentral. Lineage: Bacteria; Pseudomonadati; Bacteroidota; Bacteroidia; Bacteroidales; Odoribacteraceae.
UCAAAUAACACACAAGAGGGAAGCCGGUUAGAAUCCGGCACAGUGCCCGCUACUGUGAUGCCCGUUUCUCCCACCGGGAGAUUCUAAGAAAGAUUCUUACACCACUGUCCCGAGGGACGGGAAGGUAUUUUUCUUGGGCGUAGUCAGGAGACCUGCCAAAGCAAAA